Molecule: long non-coding RNA, 2058 nt
Organism: Oncorhynchus keta (chum salmon)
Lineage: Eukaryota; Metazoa; Chordata; Actinopteri; Salmoniformes; Salmonidae
Exons: 13
Source: RefSeq, a predicted model, not a curated record
CAUGGUUAGGAAAUAAAUACUUACCUUGACUAUUGUAUAACAAAACACAUCGAUUUCCUUAUAGUCUACAGAAAGGUUCAGCUGUAUUUGAAGCCUUCCCUGUUGUGGUCUAAUGGUUCCCUUUUGUGCUUACACAUUUCUGUUCCUGGAUCAGUGUGUCCUGACACGGUGUCUCUGUUCUAGUUGUCAGACACCCUGACACGGUGUCUCUGUUGUAGUUGUCAGACACCCUGACACGGUGUCUCUGUUCUAGUUGUCAGACACCCUGACACGGUGUCUCUGUUCUAGUUGUCAGACACCCUGACACGGUGUCUCUGUUCUAGUUGUCAGACACCCUGACACGGUGUCUCUGUUCUAGUUGUCAGACACCCUGACACGGUGUCUCUGUUCUAGUUGUCAGACACCCUGACACGGUGUCUCUGUUGUAGUUGUCAGACACCCUGACACGGUGUCUCUGUUCUAGUUGUCAGACACCCUGACACGGUGUCUCUGUUCUAGGUGUCAGACACCCUGACACGGUGUCUCUGUUCUAGUUGUCAGACACCCUGACACGGUGUCUCUGUUCUAGUUGUCAGACACCCUGACACGGUGUCUCUGUUCUCGGUGUCAGACACCCUGGCACGGUGUCUCUGUUCUAGGUGUCAGACACCCUGACACGGUGUCUCUGUUCUAGUUGUCAGACACCCUGACACGGUGUCUCUGUUCUAGUUGUCAGACACCCUGACACGGUGUCUCAGUUCUCGGUGUCAGACACACUGACACAGUGUCUCUGUUCUAGUUGUCAGACACCCUGACACGGUGUCUCUGUUCUAGGUGUCAGACACCCUGACACGGUGUCUCUGUUCUAGGUGUCAGACACCCUGACACGGUGUCUCUGUUCUAGGUGUCAGACACCCUGACACGGUGUCUCUGUUCUAGUUGUCAGACACCCUGACACGGUGUCUCUGUUCUAGUUGUCAGACACCCUGACACGGUGUCUCUGUUCUAGUUGUCAGACACCCUGACACGGUGUCUCUGUUCUCAGUGUCAGACACCCUGGCACGGUGUCUCUGUUCUAGGUGUCAGACACCCUGACACGGUGUCUCUGUUCUAGUUGUCAGACACCCUGACACGGUGUCUCUGUUCUAGUUGUCAGACACCCUGACACGGUGUCUCAGUUCUCGGUGUCAGACACACUGACACAGUGUCUCUGUUCUAGUUGUCAGACACCCUGACACGGUGUCUCUGUUCUAGGUGUCAGACACCCUGACACGAUGUCUCUGUUCUAGGUGUCAUACACCCUGACACGGUGUCUCUGUUCUAGGUGUCAGACACCCUGACACGGUGUCUCUGUUCUAGUUGUCAGACACCCUGACACGGUGUCUCUGUUCUAGGUGUCAGACACCCUGACACGGUGUCUCUGUUCUAGGUGUCAGACACCCUGACACGGUGUCUCUGUUCUAGGUGUCAGACACCCUGACACGGUGUCUCUGUUCUAGGUGUCAGACACCCUGACACGGUGUCUCUGUUCUAGUUGUCAGACACCCUGACACGGUGUCUCUGUUCUAGUUGUCAGACACCCUGACACGGUGUCUCUGUUCUAGGUGUCAGACACCCUGACACGGUGUCUCUGUUCUAGGUGUCAGACACCCUGACACGGUGUCUCUGUUCUAGGUGUCAGACACCCUGACACGGUGUCUCUGUUCUAGGUGUCAGACACCCUGACACGGUGUCUCUGUUCUCGGUGUCAGACACCCUGACACGGUGUCUCUGUUCUAGGUGUCAGACACCCUGACACGGUGUCUCUGUUCUAGGUGUCAGACACCCUGACACGGUGUCUCUGUUCUAGGUGUCAGACACCCUGACACGGUGUCUCUGUUCUCGGUGUCAGACACCCUGACACGGUGUCUCUGUUCUAGGUGUCAGACACCCUGACACGGUGUCUCUGUUCUAGGUGUCAGACACCCUGACACGGUGUCUCUGUUCUCGGUGUCAGACACCCUGACACGGUGUCUCUGUUCUCGGUGUCAGAGAGACAGUCUUGGUGUGUCUGUCAGACAUUCGGUCCGGUGUGAUCAA